CACCCCAAAACUGCUCAACCACCAUGAAAAGCUAGAACAUAGUAAUUCCCUAGACUUGACCCUCCCUGAUUAACAACAUUAUUAAGUAGUGGUUUCUUUAUUAAAGGUGUAGUGGCCGUGCUGCUACAUCCCUCUCUUCCCAAAGCAGAAAUUAGGUGCCUGCAUCAAACAAUGCAAGAGUGAGAUGACACAUCUCAGCAAGUAAACAGAGCAAACGACAAAUUGGACAUUGUAAACCAACUGUGCUUAAACAACCUCGUAGUUCAAAACUUUCUUCUUGAAUAUUAAAUUGCAGCAAGUAAACAAGUAACUAAUUACUUAAUGCCAAGAAGAAUCACAAUGUAAAAAUCCACAUUAUCCACAUCCACAUAAUAGAUUCCACACCUCUCCCAUGAAUGCACAUGGCUACAGAUGCAAUAAUGACUUCUGCCUUCAUAUCUCUAAGGAUAUGAAGCUGCAUCAUACCCCUUCUCGGGCAACAUAUGAUGCUCAAUAUACCGGUACGGUCAGACCAUAAGAUCACGACGAACUUCCAUGCAAUGAAUAAUGAAUGCAUUAUGCAUGACAACAACAUGAGUUCAUCCCAAGUAAAAUGUGCUAGACAUAUACCUCCACCCAUUCCACAUAAUAACCACUUGAGUAACAUGGUCAACCACAGACUCCACAUAUGUAAUCAAUAAAACAUGAAUAUCUUCAAAUGAUGGUACUCAAUUAAAAGUAUGAAUAUGAACACAACAGCACAACAUAAUCAAGUAUAAGACUUCAUUCGACAGACAGAAUAACCAUCACUGUUUUACUUGCCUUCACCGGAAGUUUGGGCAAAUCCUUAAGUACGGUCCGGAAGUCCACCACCUGUUUUUGACACCCAACUUAGUGCACCAAUAUCACAUAAAAAGCCCAAAAACAACGUCGCACCUACGCGCAGUCUCAAACCCCGCCGCGGGUAACAAUUCUCCCCACACCCACCAAACUGCAGCGGUGCUGCUUAACAAUUCCAUAACUUUAAAAUUAAGGCAGCAGUGGUGACAAACAAAAACUCUAGAGACAACUACAUAAAAUUUCCCACAAGUUUUGUAUACAAUUUAUGAUUAAAUUCUAACAUCUAAUUACCCCUAAACGGUCCACAAGAUAAACCCUGCAAUCUGUUUUUUUCUCUUUUGGGCAGCGACAUAUCCGGAUUCAAACAGCGAUAACUUUUAAAAUAUAAUUCCGAAUCGAGCGCAUAAGUACUUGUUGGAAAGGUAAGACAAAGCCCUACAUGAUUCUCAUACUGAUUAACACUAAUUACUCACGAAACAUCCCCAGAAACUGCUAAUACUGCUGCUGUUUGUCUACCUGAAAAAUCUGUUUUUUGGACAGCCACAUACCCGGAUUCAAACGACGAUAUCUUUUAAUUUAUAACUCCGAAUUGAGCGCAUAAAUACUCGUUGGAAAGGUAUGCCAAAGUUCUACAUGAUUCCCAAACUGAUUCCCAUUAAUUCCCCACGAAAAAUACCUAGAAACUGCUAGAACUACUGUUGUUCGUCCACCACCUAAAAUUCUGGACAGCCCCUCUACCCAAUCGCAUACGCAACAUCUAAUCAAUUGGAUUGCAGCACAAAUGAACAAGAGAUAAACACAAAAAUCACCUUGAGUUCUCCCCCUUUCCUUCCUCCCUUCUUCCCUCCACCGAAAACAAUUGAAGAUUUGCACCACGCGACGUAGAUCCGAGCGGCAAGGAAUGGCACCUUGGGAGGAGGAGAUGGGGGCAGCUAGAGUUAGGUGUGUGGCUGCAAGGGUUUGAGAGAGGAGGAGAUGGGAGGGGGGCGACGGCCAAAGGGUAGGGGGAAU
This 1830-nucleotide long non-coding RNA is filed under the name Zea mays. Its description in RNAcentral is "long non-coding RNA (ZMAY_LNC004845)". Lineage: Eukaryota; Viridiplantae; Streptophyta; Magnoliopsida; Poales; Poaceae. The record is from RNAcentral.